RNAcentral lists this ribosomal RNA (749 nucleotides) under uncultured bacterium. RNAcentral's name for it is "bacterial SSU rRNA". It matches the Rfam family "Bacterial small subunit ribosomal RNA", at positions 28 to 776 of the family's 1533-position model. The record is from RNAcentral.
GAUGAACGCUGGCGGCGUGCCUAACACAUGCAAGUCGAGCGAGAACUUAUGUAAAGAAACUUCGGUAGAUUUACAAAAGGGAAAGCGGCGGACGGGUGAGUAACGCGUAGGCAACCUGCCCCAUACAGGGGGAUAGCCACCGGAAACGGUGAUUAAUACCUCAUAAAGCAUAGAUAACACAUGUUAAAGAUGUCAAAGAGAAUUCGGUAUGGGAUGGGCCUGCGUCUGAUUAGUUAGUUGGUGAGGUAACGGCUCACCAAGGCGACGAUCAGUAGCCGACCUGAGAGGGUAGGCGGCCACAUUGGAACUGAGACACGGUCCAGACUCCUACGGGAGGCAGCAGUGGGGAAUAUUGCACAAUGGGCGAAAGCCUGAUGCAGCAACGCCGUGUGAAUGAAGAAGGCCUUAGGGUCGUAAAAUUCUGUCCUAAGGGAAGAAAAAGAUGACGGUACCUUAGGAGGAAGCCCCGGCUAACUACGUGCCAGCAGCCGCGGUAAUACGUAGGGGGCAAGCGUUAUCCGGAAUUAUUGGGCGUAAAGAGUACGUAGGUGGCUAUAUAAGCGCAUGGUGAAAGGCAGAGGCUUAACCACUGUUAGCCUUGCGAACUGUAUAGCUUGAGUGCAGGAGAGGGAGGCGGAAUUCCUAGUGUAGCGGUGAAAUGCGUAGAUAUUAGGAGGAACACCAGUGGCGAAGGCGGCUUUCUGGACUGUAACUGACACUGAGGUACGAAAGCGUGGGGAGCAAACAGG